GUGAGGAAUAUUGGUCAAUGGACGGAAGUCUGAACCAGCCAAGUCGCGUGAAGGAAGACGGUUCUAUGGAUUGUAAACUUCUUUUGCCUGAGGGUAAAACGCGGUACGUGUACCGCCUUGUAAGUAUCAGGUGAAUAAGCAUCGGCUAACUCCGUGCCAGCAGCCGCGGUAAUACGGAGGAUGCGAGCGUUAUCCGGAUUUAUUGGGUUUAAAGGGUGCGUAGGCGGGAUGUUAAGUCAGCGGUGAAAGUUUGCGGCUCAACCGUAAAAUUGCCGUUGAAACUGGCGUUCUUGAGUGUAAACGAGGUAGGCGGAAUGUGACGUGUAGCGGUGAAAUGCUUAGAUAUGUCACAGAACCCCGAUUGCGAAGGCAGCUUACCAGCAUACAACUGACGCUGAGGCACGAAAGCGUGGGUAUCAAACAGGAUUAGAAACCCGAGUAGUCC
Molecule: ribosomal RNA, 445 nt
Filed under: uncultured bacterium
Lineage: Bacteria
Description: bacterial SSU rRNA
Rfam family: Bacterial small subunit ribosomal RNA
Source: RNAcentral